GACUGACCCAUGCGUGCUGCAUCUGAAACUCCACUAUUGAGGCGAGCAGCAGCAGGGUGAGAACGCCAAAAGUGCACACAGAUUGCCCGAAUUUUCUGAAGCAGCUCUGAUAUAUCUGGGUAUACACCAUGGCAUCACAAGGGCCACCCAGGUCUGGCUCAACUCCCAUCAAGCCAAGUUCCCAGAGGAUAUCACCCAGCUCGUCAUGUUAGAGCACUUUUUCAAUGUGCUCCCCAACGAGAAGGCGACAACGCAUUCGUAUGUCAAUCCAUAUCAACUUUCGAUGCCAUUGACUGCGCCUACCAUGGUGACCACGGGUAAUGGGGAAUCAGGGUUCGAUUCCGUACAGGAACCCUGACAAACGGCUACCACAUGCAAGGAAGGCAGCAGGCACGCAAAUGACCCACUCCUGGCGAGGGAAGGUAG
Molecule: non-coding RNA, 426 nt
Organism: Pelobates cultripes (western spadefoot toad)
Lineage: Eukaryota; Metazoa; Chordata; Amphibia; Anura; Pelobatidae
Source: the annotation of a GenBank genome assembly